This 434-nucleotide transfer-messenger RNA is filed under the name marine eukaryotic metagenome. Its description in RNAcentral is "Alphaproteobacteria transfer-messenger RNA". It matches the Rfam family "Alphaproteobacteria transfer-messenger RNA". From Rfam's summary of the family: Bacterial tmRNA, also known as 10Sa RNA or SsrA, is named for its dual tRNA and mRNA-like properties. Its role is to liberate the mRNA from a stalled ribosome. The record is from RNAcentral.
UUUAACAACCGGGCCGAAUGACCUAUAUCUAUCCAUGCCGGUUUACCGGCUAUGGCGCUAAACGCGUUAUGGAAUAGGCGUUGUGGACCCGGGGGCAGUACCCGGCGCCUCCACCAUUUCCGGGAUCACUUGGGGCUUGGCUUGAUACAGACCUUGAGUGAUCCGGGAAAUCCGCCGGAUCGAUGGGUUGCAAAACCCGUCAUCGUCGGGCGGUCCGGGAUGGGGGCGAAACAGGAUCGACACGCGCAGUAAAGAUAACGUUUGUUCCCGGUAUGGUACCGCCGUUAUCGGGCUAUAUUAUAGUUGCAAACGAUAAUAACGCAGCUCCAGUAGCACUCGCAGCCUAAGGCAGCGCGUAAUACUGAAAUUUAAUUCCCUAGGCUUUGCCGUCUAGGGUGGGGACCGGAGGCCGCCUAGCAACAGAAGGCCUCCAC